Molecule: long non-coding RNA, 350 nt
Filed under: Nicotiana tabacum (common tobacco)
Lineage: Eukaryota; Viridiplantae; Streptophyta; Magnoliopsida; Solanales; Solanaceae
Description: long non-coding RNA (NTAB_LNC011445)
Source: RNAcentral
CUUUGUGGAUCUCAGCAGCAAAGCCUCAACAAUUUUCGUCUCCAAGUAUCUAUUAUAGCACAGUGGAAUGCAAAUAAUUAGGUUUUUUGUAGAAUUCUAACUAAGGAAGGAAAACUAUAUUUUUUAGAAUUGGGAGGAGGGAAGCAAAAUUCUUACCGCCAAAAUCUUUUCCUUCUAAAUCUCCCAUACUUUCCAUACAUAGCUCCUUUUGAGUCUUGGGGAAAAGGAAGCAAACUUGAGAAAUUUUGGCAAAUCCAAUUUAAGAUUUUGAUCCAAAAUUGAUUUUGAGAGGAGAGAGGGGAUGAGUCCGGUUCUUCCAAGGCUUACGACUUAAUUAGCUUUCUCAAAAA